Molecule: long non-coding RNA, 685 nt
Filed under: Populus tremula
Lineage: Eukaryota; Viridiplantae; Streptophyta; Magnoliopsida; Malpighiales; Salicaceae
Description: long non-coding RNA (PTRE_LNC002769)
Source: RNAcentral
AUUUUUUUAGUUGAAUCUGUCUGAGAAGAGAGAGCUUUCUCUCAACCGGCCUCCUGGAGUUUAGGUGUUAAAUGGCCCCUUGAGUUUGUAAUCCUCAAAAAUAUGGUUAGCUGCUCAUGGGAGACCGCAGCAUUCAACCGAUUCUCGUCAGCUCAUAAAUGGAUGCAAGGUAGGGUGAGAUGGUAGAUAUGAUGCCAUAAAUGAAAGUGAGCGCCCCUGUUUCCUGAUUUUCAAGGUGCCGACAAGAGAUUAAGAUCUCAGCCAAUUGAAACCGUGGAGCUGUUUGCUUCUCUUUCAUGUGGGUCACGAUUUACCUUUAUGCAGGGCUAAAAUCAUGGAAUGGAUUAAGGUGUUUCUCCUUUCUUCUUCUCCAGUGACUCUCAAAGCUUCUUUCUUGUCAAAAAAUGGGUUGUGUUUUGGCUGGGUAGGGGGGAAAUGAUAAAGAUGGUGGUAAAAACUGGGCGGCGGGGAUGGGUUAUUUGGUUGUUGCUCCCAAGUAAAUAGUGUCAAUUGGCUGUGUUGGUAUCUCAAGAGAGGAAAAUGAGGGGGCGGCAGCGGGGAUGGAUUUUUUAUUUGAUAAGAAAUUGCACAUGGUUUUUGAUAAAAGCCGAGACAACCCAUUUUUCUUUCGUUUCUGUUUAUUUUCCGUUUCCUGUCGGUGUUUAGCCCAAAUCAAAUGCAACUU